Molecule: ribosomal RNA, 2443 nt
Filed under: Escherichia coli
Lineage: Bacteria; Pseudomonadati; Pseudomonadota; Gammaproteobacteria; Enterobacterales; Enterobacteriaceae
Description: bacterial LSU rRNA
Rfam family: Bacterial large subunit ribosomal RNA
Source: RNAcentral
UGUGAGCUCGAUGAGUAGGGCGGGACACGUGGUAUCCUGUCUGAAUAUGGGGGGACCAUCCUCCAAGGCUAAAUACUCCUGACUGACCGAUAGUGAACCAGUACCGUGAGGGAAAGGCGAAAAGAACCCCGGCGAGGGGAGUGAAAAAGAACCUGAAACCGUGUACGUACAAGCAGUGGGAGCACGCUUAGGCGUGUGACUGCGUACCUUUUGUAUAAUGGGUCAGCGACUUAUAUUCUGUAGCAAGGUUAACCGAAUAGGGGAGCCGAAGGGAAACCGAGUCUUAACUGGGCGUUAAGUUGCAGGGUAUAGACCCGAAACCCGGUGAUCUAGCCAUGGGCAGGUUGAAGGUUGGGUAACACUAACUGGAGGACCGAACCGACUAAUGUUGAAAAAUUAGCGGAUGACUUGUGGCUGGGGGUGAAAGGCCAAUCAAACCGGGAGAUAGCUGGUUCUCCCCGAAAGCUAUUUAGGUAGCGCCUCGUGAAUUCAUCUCCGGGGGUAGAGCACUGUUUCGGCAAGGGGGUCAUCCCGACUUACCAACCCGAUGCAAACUGCGAAUACCGGAGAAUGUUAUCACGGGAGACACACGGCGGGUGCUAACGUCCGUCGUGAAGAGGGAAACAACCCAGACCGCCAGCUAAGGUCCCAAAGUCAUGGUUAAGUGGGAAACGAUGUGGGAAGGCCCAGACAGCCAGGAUGUUGGCUUAGAAGCAGCCAUCAUUUAAAGAAAGCGUAAUAGCUCACUGGUCGAGUCGGCCUGCGCGGAAGAUGUAACGGGGCUAAACCAUGCACCGAAGCUGCGGCAGCGACGCUGAUGCGUUGUUGGGUAGGGGAGCGUUCUGUAAGCCUGCGAAGGUGUACUGUGAGGUAUGCUGGAGGUAUCAGAAGUGCGAAUGCUGACAUAAGUAACGAUAAAGCGGGUGAAAAGCCCGCUCGCCGGAAGACCAAGGGUUCCUGUCCAACGUUAAUCGGGGCAGGGUGAGUCGACCCCUAAGGCGAGGCCGAAAGGCGUAGUCGAUGGGAAACAGGUUAAUAUUCCUGUACUUGGUGUUACUGCGAAGGGGGGACGGAGAAGGCUAUGUUGGCCGGGCGACGGUUGUCCCGGUUUAAGCGUGUAGGCUGGUUUUCCAGGCAAAUCCGGAAAAUCAAGGCUGAGGCGUGAUGACGAGGCACUACGGUGCUGAAGCAACAAAUGCCCUGCUUCCAGGAAAAGCCUCUAAGCAUCAGGUAACAUCAAAUCGUACCCCAAACCGACACAGGUGGUCAGGUAGAGAAUACCAAGGCGCUUGAGAGAACUCGGGUGAAGGAACUAGGCAAAAUGGUGCCGUAACUUCGGGAGAAGGCACGCUGAUAUGUAGGUGAAGUCCCUCGCGGAUGGAGCUGAAAUCAGUCGAAGAUACCAGCUGGCUGCAACUGUUUAUUAAAAACACAGCACUGUGCAAACACGAAAGUGGACGUAUACGGUGUGACGCCUGCCCGGUGCCGGAAGGUUAAUUGAUGGGGUCAGCGCAAGCGAAGCUCUUGAUCGAAGCCCCGGUAAACGGCGGCCGUAACUAUAACGGUCCUAAGGUAGCGAAAUUCCUUGUCGGGUAAGUUCCGACCUGCACGAAUGGCGUAAUGAUGGCCAGGCUGUCUCCACCCGAGACUCAGUGAAAUUGAACUCGCUGUGAAGAUGCAGUGUACCCGCGGCAAGACGGAAAGACCCCGUGAACCUUUACUAUAGCUUGACACUGAACAUUGAGCCUUGAUGUGUAGGAUAGGUGGGAGGCUUUGAAGUGUGGACGCCAGUCUGCAUGGAGCCGACCUUGAAAUACCACCCUUUAAUGUUUGAUGUUCUAACGUUGACCCGUGAUCCGGGUUGCGGACAGUGUCUGGUGGGUAGUUUGACUGGGGCGGUCUCCUCCUAAAGAGUAACGGAGGAGCACGAAGGUUGGCUAAUCCUGGUCGGACAUCAGGAGGUUAGUGCAAUGGCAUAAGCCAGCUUGACUGCGAGCGUGACGGCGCGAGCAGGUGCGAAAGCAGGUCAUAGUGAUCCGGUGGUUCUGAAUGGAAGGGCCAUCGCUCAACGGAUAAAAGGUACUCCGGGGAUAACAGGCUGAUACCGCCCAAGAGUUCAUAUCGACGGCGGUGUUUGGCACCUCGAUGUCGGCUCAUCACAUCCUGGGGCUGAAGUAGGUCCCAAGGGUAUGGCUGUUCGCCAUUUAAAGUGGUACGCGAGCUGGGUUUAGAACGUCGUGAGACAGUUCGGUCCCUAUCUGCCGUGGGCGCUGGAGAACUGAGGGGGGCUGCUCCUAGUACGAGAGGACCGGAGUGGACGCAUCACUGGUGUUCGGGUUGUCAUGCCAAUGGCACUGCCCGGUAGCUAAAUGCGGAAGAGAUAAGUGCUGAAAGCAUCUAAGCACGAAACUUGCCCCGAGAUGAGUUCUCCCUGACUCCUUGA